RNAcentral lists this ribosomal RNA (253 nucleotides) under uncultured bacterium. Its description in RNAcentral is "partial 16S ribosomal RNA". It matches the Rfam family "Bacterial small subunit ribosomal RNA", at positions 524 to 776 of the family's 1533-position model. The record is from RNAcentral.
UACGGAGGGUCCGAGCGUUAAUCGGAAUUACUGGGCGUAAAGAGCACGUAGGUGGCUACUUAAGUCGGAUGUGAAAUCCCUGGGCUUAACCUAGGAACUGCAUACGAUACUGGGUAGCUAGAGUACUGUAGAGGACAGUGGAAUUUCUAGUGUAGCGGUGAAAUGCGUAGAUAUUAGAAGGAACAUCAGUGGCGAAGGCGACUGUCUGGACAGAUACUGACACUGAGGUGCGAAAGCGUGGGUAGCAAACAGG